GACAGUCUGGUGUGUUUUUGUCUAACUUGUGGACAAAGACUUUUAUAGGGAAUGUAAAAAAUUACUGCUCUUUUGUAAUCCAGAACUCAUUGUUCAGUAUGAGUUUUGAUACAAAUAAGAAGAAAUAUU
Small nucleolar RNA from Oryctolagus cuniculus (rabbit), 129 nucleotides. NCBI's taxonomy places the organism in Eukaryota, Metazoa, Chordata, Mammalia, Lagomorpha, Leporidae. The record is from Ensembl.